ACUCAGUGAAAUUGAAUUUGCGGUUAAGAUGCCGUAUACCCGCGGCUAGACGGAAAGACCCCGUGAACCUUUACUAUAGCUUGGCACUGAACAUUGACCCUACAUGUGUAGGAUAGGUGGGAGACUAUGAAACCAUGUCGCUAGAUGUGGUGGAGUCUACCUUGAAAUACCACCCUUGUAUGCGUGAUGUUCUAACCUAGGGCCCUUAUCGGGCUUGGGGACACUGUCUGGUGGGUAGUUUGACUGGGGCGGUCUCCUCCUAAAGAGUAACGGAGGAGCACGAAGGUUGGCUAAGUAUGGUCGGACAUCAUACGGUUAGUGCAAUGGCAUAAGCCAGCUUAACUGCGAGACAGACACGUCGAGCAGGUACGAAAGUAGGUCAUAGUGAUCCGGUGGUUCUGAAUGGAAGGGCCAUCGCUCAACGG
Molecule: ribosomal RNA, 425 nt
Filed under: uncultured Pyramimonas
Lineage: Eukaryota; Viridiplantae; Chlorophyta; Pyramimonadophyceae; Pyramimonadales
Description: partial Bacterial large subunit ribosomal RNA
Rfam family: Bacterial large subunit ribosomal RNA
Source: RNAcentral